Molecule: long non-coding RNA, 449 nt
Organism: Erinaceus europaeus (western European hedgehog)
Lineage: Eukaryota; Metazoa; Chordata; Mammalia; Eulipotyphla; Erinaceidae
Exons: 2
Source: RefSeq, a predicted model, not a curated record
UUGAACUCAGGACCUCAUGCUUGAGAGUCCAGUUGACGGUGGUGGGGAGAUUGAACCUGAGACUUUGGAGCCUCAGGCAUGAGACCCGACUCCCAACUAUUAGGCUUCUUACCCCUGCUCUUUCUGCCAUUCCCCCUGCCCUAGGCCCUUUGCCUGCACUAUUCCAGCAGUCUCCAUGGAAUUUCUUAUUUUAAAAAGAAAACACCACAGCAGUCUCUACCACCACUUGAGAAGCUUCCCCUUCCUCUGUGCUCCCAGCUGGUGGGCAGAGGCCGUCUGCUGGCAACCUUCCCUUCCUGUCCUGGGCAGUUUGUCCCAGUCUUUAUCACUCACUCACAAAUCAUGUCCUCAGUUUGUCCCAGUCUUUAUCACUCACUCACAAAUCAUGUCCUCAGACUGUUGUUCUUGCCCCUUUGUUUUUAUUUGUAUCCCUGGGAGUAUUUUUCAAA